Molecule: ribosomal RNA, 498 nt
Filed under: uncultured bacterium
Lineage: Bacteria
Description: partial 16S ribosomal RNA
Rfam family: Bacterial small subunit ribosomal RNA
Source: RNAcentral
GAUGAACGCUGGCGGCGUGCCUAAUACAUGCAAGUCGAGCGAACAGACGAGGAGCUUGCUCCUCUGACGUUAGCGGCGGACGGGUGAGUAACACGUGGAUAACCUACCUAUAAGACUGGGAUAACUUCGGGAAACCGGAGCUAAUACCGGAUAAUAUAUUGAACCGCAUGGUUCAAUAGUGAAAGACGGUUUUGCUGUCACUUAUAGAUGGAUCCGCGCCGCAUUAGCUAGUUGGUAAGGUAACGGCUUACCAAGGCGACGAUGCGUAGCCGACCUGAGAGGGUGAUCGGCCACACUGGAACUGAGACACGGUCCAGACUCCUACGGGAGGCAGCAGUAGGGAAUCUUCCGCAAUGGGCGAAAGCUUGACGGAGCAACGCCGCGUGAGUGAUGAAGGUCUUCGGAUCGUAAAACUCUGUUAUUAGGGAAGAACAAAUGUGUAAGUAACUAUGCACGUCUUGACGGUACCUAAUCAGAAAGCCACGGCUAACUACGUGC